RNAcentral lists this transfer RNA (65 nucleotides) under Trictenotoma davidi. RNAcentral's name for it is "tRNA-Tyr". Lineage: Eukaryota; Metazoa; Arthropoda; Insecta; Coleoptera; Trictenotomidae. The record is from RNAcentral.
GGUAAAAUGGCCGAGACAUAGGCAAUAAAUUGUAAAUUUAUCUACGAAUGAAUGUUCUUUUACCA